This 218-nucleotide long non-coding RNA is filed under the name Homo sapiens (human). Its description in RNAcentral is "HSALNT0379823". The record is from RNAcentral. Lineage: Eukaryota; Metazoa; Chordata; Mammalia; Primates; Hominidae.
CGCAUCUUCUCCUCCUGCUCCCACAUCUUCUCCUCCUGCUCCUGCAUCUUCUCUUCCUGCUCCCACAGCUUCUCCUUCUGUUCCGGCAGCCUCUGCUGCUCCCACAUCUUCUUCUUCCUGCUCCCACAUCUUCUCCUCCUGCUCCCACAUCUUCUCCUCCUGCUCCCGCAUCUUCUCUUCCUGCUCCUGCAUCUUCUCCUCCUGCUCCCGCAUCAUCU